UCCGUAGGGUGCGAUCGUUAAUCGGAAUUACUGGGCGUAAAGCGUGCGCAGGCGGUUUGAUAAGCCAGAUGUGAAAUCCCCGAGCUCAACCUGGGAACUGCGUUUGGAACUGUCAGACUAGAGUGCGUCAGAGGGGGGUGGAAUUCCGCGUGUAGCAGUGAAAUGCGUAGAGAUGCGGAGGAACACCGAUGGCGAAGGCAGCCCCCUGGGAUGACACUGACGCUCAUGCACGAAAGCGUGGGGAGAAAACAGG
RNAcentral lists this ribosomal RNA (253 nucleotides) under uncultured bacterium. RNAcentral describes it as "partial 16S ribosomal RNA". It matches the Rfam family "Bacterial small subunit ribosomal RNA", at positions 524 to 776 of the family's 1533-position model. The record is from RNAcentral.